AAUGUCAGUGGAGGUGGCAUUUGUUGCUGCUGGUGAAAGCUUUAAGAGCCAGUGUGUGACUUGCCACAUUCCUGGUCCUGCCUCACCAGCUGAAAGCCUGUGUCGAGGUGGGUCUACUGACCCAUGUUAGACCUGUAGGGGAGUGAGAAAGAAAUUCUAUUGGGUUAAACAUCUCAGAUUUGGGGGAUGUUUGUUACUGCAGCAUAACCUAGCAUAUCCAUGCUGAUGAAUAGGCUGUGGAAUUUCAGGUAUUUAAAAUGGUGUGCCAGUAGCCCUGGACAGUUAGGGGCCACGGACUAUGUCAUUGUGCCCUAGCCAAAUUCUAUAACCACCACACACCAAGCCAAAGCCUUGGGCAAGUGGAGGACACCCAGCAUCUACUCUUUAUUAACUGCGAGCACUCAUUGACUUGAAGGUGGAAGGAGUGUCAGAAAAGUGAGUCCAGGCCACCAAACGCCUGCUUCAUUUCUCCUCAGAGCCAGACAACCUCCAAGUGUGUGUGGCCAGGUAGACACUUGGUCAAGCCUGGAAGAUGUCUGGGCUAAGAGCCCAGGCUGUGUACAUUAUUGGAUUGCAAUUGACAUCUUUUUGCCCUGAUUUGAUUUUUCCCUAUAUUGCUUUUCUCUAAAAAUAAAACAUAAAUCUUUGUGGUCAAUGUUAUAGGAGGCAGACAAAUCCAUCCCUGUAUCUUCUCAAACAGAGUCUCAAAGUCAGCCAGUGCAAGUUCAAUCCCAGAGUUUUAUUGAGGACCUACUAUGUACCUUUAGAGAUGGUCUCCACCUUGGCUUCCACAGUCUAGCAGAGAAGAUGGAACAUUAAAAAUAACUAGAACAAAGUGUAAGCACUGUAUAUAGCUCAUUCAUUCAAUAAACAUUUAGUGAAGACGAUUGUGUUCUAGGUAACAGAAGUUAUAGGAAGUACAGAUAUAUGACUAGACAGUGAUAGAAACAUUUAGAAGCAAUUGUCUCCUUCUGGAGGAAGGGAGGAGUUCUAGAUACUAUUGCUCCAUAACAAACCGCCCCAAACCCCAGUGACAAAAUAGCUAUUGUAUUAAAUUUACAGGUCCUAUGGGUUGGGAAUCCAGGCAGGGCAAAGAGGGGAUGGCUUAUGUCUGCUACUAACAUCUUGAUAGACACUAAGGCUGUAGGUGACCUCGUGGCCUGGGACUGGAGUCAUCGGAGAGUCCUUCACUCGUGUGUCUGGCUCCUGGACUGAGGUGAUUCAAAGAGGAGGCUCUGCUGAAACUGACAACCAGCAGGUCGCCUUUCAAUAUGGCUUGAGCUUCUUACAGUAUGGAGGCUGGGUUCCACGAGGGAGCAUGGUAAGGCCUUUUGUGACCUAGCCUCAGAAGUCUUAUAGUGUCACUUCCUCUGCAUUCUAUUGAUUAUGUCAGUCACUAAGGCCAACCCAGGUUCCAAGGGUGACACACAGAUGCCACCUCUCAAUGCAAGGAAUGUACAAGAAUUUGUAGGCAUGUUUUAAAACCUGUCUACAGGGAGGAUUCAGAUCUUGCUAUCUGAUAAUGAAUGAUAUAAUCAGAAACAAUGAAAAAAUAAUGUUCUUGGACUGAGUUUGCAUUCUGCAUUCACAUUUCCUGAAACAACACAGUAGGUUGUUUUUGUUACAACUUGCUUUUCCUCCAACAGGAGAUUAUUUUAAUUUCUUGGGUACACUGUCCAAAAGGAAACUAAGAAAAGAUAAACCAAACUCUGUACACUCAAUUUCUGAACACAUAUCCCACUGCCACCUUCAGCUGCUGUGCUGAGGGAAAUAAAGUGUGGCGGUAAACAGCAUGGCUCCCAAGGGCUGGCCUCCUAAAUAGCUGUGUGAUCUUGGGCUGGUAACUUAGUCUCUCUGUGCCUCAACUUCUUCAAUAUAGCAUGGUAAUAAUUUAUGCCUGCUUCAAAGAGUCAUCAUGAAGUUAAAAAGAGAUCAGCCUUGAACAGUGUUUGAAAGGUAGGAGGAAUUCAAUGUGUUAGAAAUCAUAAGUGCUAGUUUUCAAAAUAUACAGCUUUAUAGCAUUCUAGCUCCUUUGGGGGCAUACGUCGUGCCAUUUUCGUGCAGUGCUAGUGUAACGUCAUACACGCAAUUGGUGCUCAGUAAAUUCUUGCUUGUUAAGGCUGAGUUUAACACCCUCUUCAAGCAGUUGGUGACACUGCUUGGACUUGGAAAGGAGCAAGGCUGGGGAGAAAUGUGGGUUUUGAGAUGUUACAGCACAUAUUCAUGAUCCAGAAAUCCACUUUGAUUCAUUCAUGAUUCAUUUUGUUUUCCAAGGUUUAAAAAACAAAACUAAAUUUAAAAGUCUGUUAGGGAAUUAGAUACGUAAACCAGUCCACUUUUCUCAGGUUAUUUGAUGCUGGAAUAGCGUUUGUCUAGGGAAGGCUCCCACUGUAGCUAUGCUGGGGGCGCUGCUGUCCAUUCGUUACCAACCUCUCUAUCCAUCCAUCGAUUCAGCCACUAAACCAUCACUGAGCUCCUACGAUGUGCCGUUGUCAGUGCCAGGCAAUGGGUCCGUGGUGUGUCUAAGUCCAUGCCCUCGUGAUGCUUACAAUCUAGUGGAAAGUCACACACAGAAAUGCAAAACUGUGUUUGCAACAAGUGCUCUGGAGAAAAACAGGUACAGUAAUGUUUCCUGAGGAAGUAAGCCUUAUGUGUAUGCAGACGUGUGGACAUGCACAUGUCUAUGUGUGUUCAGAAACUUGUAUGCUUAUGUACACAUGUGGAUAUUUACAAAUGUCCAACAUGCGUUUUAAGAUUUGGGAUGUCAUGAAUUUUAUUGUUAACAGUUAACAAACUAAGCCAAACCGCUACUUUGAUGUGAUAUUGUACAUCGUCUGCCUCCUGCUACUUUCCAACUGUUAAUAAGAGCUGACAUUUGUGGAGCACUAACAGAUACUGUGUUAAAAGCUUGAAUAUUCCCCACAACACCCUGAGGCAGGAACUCCCAUUAGCUCCAUUUCCAGAUGAGGGAUGGAGGCCAGGUGAGUUCAGUACCUUGUCCUAAUCAGCCAUGGAGCUCGUGUCUCUGCCCCUAUGCUUUUUUUUGUCUUCCUUCAACAAGCCGAGUAGAGAAAUGGAUCCUGUGGAAGGCAGAGGUGUGCAGGGUCCACAUGGAGGGGCAGGGACCAAGAAUGUGGUGACGGGUUGCACGAGGUGGUCUUUCGAGAGCGGCGGGGUCAGGAUCUUACCGGCACCGCCUGGCUCCUGGCUUUUCCUGGGCAAGCUUGAUUGCUUCCAUUUCAACAGCCUCUGCUGUUCAGACGGCCUCUCAUCUCAGUCCCUUGUUGAGGUCGAAGGCGUGAAAUGCCAGGUGUCUUCUGAACACCUCUACCUGAUGGUUUCCAGCCCUUCAACCAAACUCAUCAUCCUUCCUCCCCAUCUCCAGUUUUUCUCAUCGCUGUUUAUGGCAUGCAUUUCAGAUUCAUUUUCAGCUUCCCCAGCCCCAACACGAAGUGGCUCACAAGGUAAGUGAUUGCAUCUCAGAAACAUUUUGUUUAACGCCAAGGUGCUUUAGUUCCUGGCUCUUGUCUGAGGGUGGUGUGGCUCCCAGAGUCCCCUUGAAGAUGUCUUUCUCCGGCAUUCCUCCUCUCCUCAUUCCUCGAAAUCUGGGUCCCUGCAUGAGCACCCACCCAUUCGCCCAUACCUUUCAGCUCAGGUGUUGAGGAUGUUUCCGUGCUUGACCUGUGAAUGGCUCUGGCCACACUGACGGUCCCAAGGGAUUUCCAUGGCAGGAAAGUAGGUCGAGUGUCUCCUUUGGGAGUAGAUAAUGGUGUCCGCAGAUGCGCUGCUCUUUGAAAAUUGAACUUGGCAAUUCCUCAGAAGCGCUUGGAUCCUCCCCAGUGCCGUGCUAGCAGGCCCUCCAAAGAAGCUCUGACUGCCCUGAAGUAAUCUGCCAGGGAAGCCAGCUGCUCAGAGAAUCUAAGGCCAGUUUUCCAGAGGCCUGUGCCAGCCCACGCUCUGCGGUGGGUGUUUCAGGCUGUGUGUGGUGGGGGCUGCCUGUACGAGCCUGGCUGGGUGGGCAGCUAGCAUCUAAAAUUCCAGUUGGAGUAGGGAAAGGAUGUCCAGACAAAGAGAGGGAGGAGAUGACUAUCAGCUGGUAGUGACUGGGGCACUUUGAGAGGGACCAAAUUUAAAAGAAAACUGACUUCCAUGUCUGCACCAAAUAUGAAUGACCUGUAACAGCGAGGAGCUUAACGGGCUUGAAGUAUUUCACAUAUGGUAUCGUUCAGUCCUCAUGAGAAUUCCAGAGGAAGCUUCUGUUAUCCUGCCAUGUGCCUCUCCUUCAGAGUAUUUGUCAUAAUGACAACUAUGCAUUUCUUCUGAGAUUUUUGUAAAUGGCUGUCUUCUCUAUUAAACCCUAAGAAUCACGAGGACAGUCUUAUUUUCACCCUGCAUUCUAUGCCCAACACCGACAGCAAUGCCCUGGCAUACAACAGGUGCUCAACUAAUGCACAGUGGAUGAAGGAAUUUACAUUAUUCACAAUAGCUAAGACAUGGAAGCAACCUGAGUGUCCAUCGGCGGAUGAGUGGGUAAAUAUGUGAGGAUUGUUUUGACUAUUCUGGAUCCUUUGAGUUUUCACAGGAAUUCUAGCAUCAGCUUGGCCAUUUCUACAGGAAAGCCAGCUUUCCCCCAUGUUGUGCAGACUUCCGGGACCAUCAGUCAAGGGUCCAUGCUCUCCUCUGCCCAGCGGGCUCAUCAUCCAGCAUCUACAGCCCCAAGGUCCUCGACAGCACAGAGGAAACUGUGUUCUUGUUUCUUGGAGGGUGUCUGCAGCGUUGCCAGCCUGUGUCUGCAGAUUAAUUGUCCACCUGUUGCACUGGUAACCCAUUCUGUCUUCAGCAGGUCCACGUGGUCCUGGCUUGGUCUGUGGAAACUAAUUAUACCUUUCCACUUGCUGCAGAAGUCAAGGCCUUUUGGUUGAUGUGUCUCUAUUUGUGGCUGCUGCAUCUCUAAUUGUGGCUGCUGCCCUAGCCCCAGCCAAGGUUAUAGCAAACAGAGUCAGACUGGAAGAAGGAUGCGGAAUUUGAUCCCUCUGACUAAUCACCGAAAAAAAACCAACUCAGCUAAGCUUUACUUGUGAAACAAGGAAAUAAAGGCUGGCUUCUCUUUUUAAAAAGCCAUGGAAAUAAAAACAAUAAAGUCAAAACCAUGAAAAAUAUUUACCAUGUGUACUAAUGCUAAUAUCCCCAACUUAUGAAGAAUUUCUACAGUGAUAAGGAAACGAUCCAAUGAAUAAAUGGGCAAAUGAUGGAAACAGCUCAGACUUAAGGAAAUGCAAAUGAUUCCUGGACAUUUGAAAAAGUACUCAGCAUCACUAAAAAUAAGAGAAAGUCCUAUUAAGUCCAGUUAAGACCAUUUGGGGUACUGUAUUUUAGCUAUCAUACAGGUAAAGAUCAGAGAAUCAAAAAAUGUGAGCACACAUGAAAUUGUUGAGGAUAUGGGGGAAUGGUACUAUCACAAAAUGUCACUACAGGUGUACAUUGUUCCCUUGUCAGGGGAUGGAAGUUGGUAAUAUCCAUGAAAAAAAAUGCACACUCCAUGUGACCUAGAAAUUCUACAGAUCUUCCCACGAUAGCGUGAAAUAGAAUGUUCACAAAGGUACAUAUGUCAGCAGUAUAUGUGAGAGCAAAAGGAUUGGCAACAAUUCUGGGACAAAACUGCUUGUUUCACCUCAAUAUCUAUUCUCCUCUCUUUCUUUCUUAAUAGAAACCCACAUUUUCCACCGACUCCCUGGAUUGUGAUGACAUUUCUCAUUCUCCCUUCCAGCUAGGUGUAGCUUAGUGACUAGAUUUUGGAAAAUGAGAUACAACUGAAAGGACUUUGUGAGCUGCGAAGCAUCCUUCUUGAUAGGGAGCAUGUUGGUCUUCAGGCUGGAAUGCAGACGUGAAGGCUGGAGCUCAAGCAGCCACAUUCAAACAUGAGAAGAAAUCCAUGAGCUAAGAAGAGAGGAACAAUAAGAUAAAAGGACCUUCAGUCUCUGAGGUUGUGGUUACCAACACCAGCCCUAAGCCACCUAACUCUGAUCAUCUUUUUCAUGUUAUACACUUCUAUCUUGUUUAAGCCACUAAGUCAUUAUUUUAGAUACUUUUAAAGAGACUGGUAAAAUAAAUCAUGGU
Hippopotamus amphibius kiboko is the source of this 6117-nucleotide long non-coding RNA. RefSeq lists it as uncharacterized. NCBI's taxonomy places the organism in Eukaryota, Metazoa, Chordata, Mammalia, Artiodactyla, Hippopotamidae. The record is from RefSeq and is a predicted model, not a curated record. The transcript has 5 exons.